RNAcentral lists this ribosomal RNA (253 nucleotides) under uncultured bacterium. Its description in RNAcentral is "partial 16S ribosomal RNA". It matches the Rfam family "Bacterial small subunit ribosomal RNA", at positions 524 to 776 of the family's 1533-position model. The record is from RNAcentral.
UACGGAGGGUGCAAGCGUUGUUCGGAUUUAUUGGGCGUAAAGCGCGUGUAGGCGGUUUCUUAAGUCUGAUGUGAAAGCCCUGGGCUCAACCCAGGAAGUGCAUUGGAUACUGGGAGACUUGAAUACGGGAGAGGGUAGUGGAAUUCCUAGUGUAGGAGUGAAAUCCGUAGAUAUUAGGAGGAACACCGGUGGCGAAGGCGGCUACCUGGACCGAUAUUGACGCUGAGACGCGGAAGCGUGGGGAGCAAACAGG